RNAcentral lists this ribosomal RNA (2494 nucleotides) under Bacteroidetes bacterium ADurb.Bin217. Its description in RNAcentral is "bacterial LSU rRNA". It matches the Rfam family "Bacterial large subunit ribosomal RNA", at positions 11 to 2621 of the family's 2925-position model. The record is from RNAcentral. Lineage: Bacteria; Pseudomonadati; Bacteroidota.
AUAAGAGCACACGGGGGAUGCCUAGGCUCUCAGAGGCGAAGAAGGACGUGAUAAGCUGCGAUAAGCUCAGAGGAGGUGCAAAUGACCGUUAAUUCUGAGAUUUCCGAAUGGGGCAACCUGAAUAUCCUAUUUAUAGGAGGCGAACGCGCUGAACUGAAACAUCUAAGUAGGCGUAGGAGGAGAAAGAGCAAUCGAUUCCCUGAGUAGCGGCGAGCGAAACGGGAGGAGCCCAAACCAUGUAAGUUUAGGCUUAUAUGGGGUAAUAGGACUGCGAUAUUUGGUUAUAUAAUGAAAUAGAACAUACCUGGAAAGGUAGGACGAAGAGGGUGACAUUCCCGUAUAUGUAAGUUAUAUAAUUGAUAGCAGUAUCCUGAGUAGGGCGGGGCACGUGAAACCCUGUCUGAAUUAUCGCCGACCACGGCGAAAGGCUAAAUACUCCUGAGAGACCGAUAGUGGACCAGUACCGUGAGGGAAAGGUGAAAAGAACCCCGAACAGGGGAGUGAAAUAGAACCUGAAACCGUGUGCUUACAAGCGGUCGGAGUCCUACGGGAUGACGGCGUGCCUUUUGCAUAAUGAGCCUACGAGUUGCUCCUAUAUGGCAAGGUUAAGUGUUUAAAGACACGAAGCCGAAGCGAAAGCGAGUCUUAACAGGGCGCAUUAGUCAUAUGGGGCAGACGCGAAACCUUGUGAUCUACCCAUGGUCAGGUUGAAGUCCGCGUAACAGUGGAUGGAGGACCGAACAGAUAAACGUUGAAAAGUUUCCUGAUGAACUGUGGGUAGGGGUGAAAGGCCAAUCAAACUGGGAGAUAGCUCGUACUCCCCGAAAUGCAUUUAGGUGCAGCCUUGCAAUAGUAUAUAGGAGGUAGAGCUACCGAUUAGACUAGGGGGAUUCAACUCCUACCGAAUCUUGACGAACUCCGAAUGCCUAUAUAUGUUUUGCAGGAGUGAGGCGAUGGGUGCUAAGGUCCAUUGCCGAGAGGGGAACAACCCAGACUGUCAGCUAAAGGCCCCAAAAGGUAUACUAAGUAGAACAAACGCGGUGAGGUUGCUAAGACAGCUAGGAUGUUGGCUUGGAAGCAGCCAUUCAUUUAAAGAGUGCGUAACAGCUCACUAGUCGAGCGACCUUGCAUGGAUAAUACGCGGGCUUUAAGUAUACUGCCGAAGCUACAGAUUUGAUAGUAAUAUCAACUGGUAGGGGAGCAUUCUAUUUGCUGUGAAGAUGUGCUGCGAGGCAUGUUGGAGCGAAUAGAAAAGCAAAUGUAGGCAUGAGUAACGAUAAUGGAGGCGAGAAACCUCCACACCGAAAAGCCAAGGUUUCCCGGGCUAUGUUAAUCAGCCCGGGGUUAGUCGGGACCUAAGGAGAACCCGAAAGGGAAAUUCGAUGGACAGGGGGUUAAUAUUCCUCCACCAUGUAUACAAUAAAAGUGACGGAUUGCCGAGGUCAUCACGUACUGACGGAAUAGUGCGUAGAGCUUAGCCUUCGGGCGAAGCGAGAUGGAUACAGCGGUUCCAAGAAAAGCGAGUAUAUAUGCCCGUACCGUAAACCGACACAGGUGGCUGGGAAGAGUAUUCUAAGGUGCUCGGGAGAUUCACGGUUAAGGAACUAGGCAAAAUAACCCCGUAACUUCGGGAUAAGGGGAGCCAUCAGCAAUGGUGGCCGCAGAGAAAAGAUCCAAGCGACUGUUUAGCAAAAACACAGGGCUAUGCCAAUUCGAAAGACGACGUAUAUGGCCUGACACCUGCCCGGUGCCGGAAGGUUAAGUGGGGAUGUUAUCGUAAGAGAAGCAUUGAAAUGAAGCCCCGGUAAACGGCGGCCGUAACUAUAACGGUCCUAAGGUAGCGAAAUUCCUUGUCGGGUAAGUUCCGACCUGCACGAAUGGUGUAACGAUUUGGAUACUGUCUCGACCGUGAGCCCGGUGAAAUUGUAGUAUCGGUGAAGAUGCCGAUUACCCGCGAUGGGACGGAAAGACCCCGUGAACCUUUACUAUAGCUUAACAUUGUUCCUGGGCACGUAAUGUGUAGGAUAGGUCGGAGACUGUGAUGCGGCGUCGCUAGGCGUCGAGUAGUCACCCUUGAAAUACGACCCUUUGCGUGUUUGGGAUCUAACUCUUUCAAAGAGAGGACAUUGUUUGGUGGGUAGUUUGACUGGGGUGGUCGCCUCCAAAAGAGUAACGGAGGCUUCCCAAGGUACCCUCAGCACGUUUGGUAACCGUGCGUAGAGUGCAAUGGCACAAGGGUGCUUGACUGUGAGAGAGACACCUCGAGCAGGUACGAAAGUAGGGCAUAGUGAUCCGGUGGUUCCGCGUGGAAGGGCCAUCGCUCAAAGGAUAAAAGGUACUCCGGGGAUAACAGGCUGAUCGCCGCCAAGAGCUCAUAUCGACGCGGCGGUUUGGCACCUCGAUGUCGGCUCGUCACAUCCUGGGGCUGGAGAAGGUCCCAAGGGUUCGGCUGUUCGCCGAUUAAAGUGGCACGCGAGCUGGGUUCAGAACGUCG